UCUCUCUUAGCCAAUCAUGCU
Molecule: microRNA, 21 nt
Filed under: Physcomitrium patens
Lineage: Eukaryota; Viridiplantae; Streptophyta; Bryopsida; Funariales; Funariaceae
Description: ppt-miR1049b
Source: miRBase by way of RNAcentral